AGAGUUUGAUCAUGGCUCAGAAUCAACGCUGGCGGCGCGCUUAACACAUGCAAGUCGCACGAGAAAGGGAGCAAUCCCAAGUAAAGUGGCGCACGGGUGAGUAACACGUGGAUCAUCCACCUUCUUGUGGGGAAUAACCUGGGGAAACCCGAGCUAAUACCGCAUAAGCCCGAGAGGGGAAAGCAGCAAUGCGCAGGAAGAGGAGUCCGCGGUCGAUUAGCUAGUUGGUAGGGUAAAAGCCUACCAAGGCUAUGAUCGAUAGCCGGCCUGAGAGGGCACACGGCCACACUGGCACUGAAACACGGGCCAGACUCCUACGGGAGGCAGCAGUGGGGAAUCUUGCACAAUGGGGGAAACCCUGAUGCAGCGACGCCGCGUGGGUGAUGAAGUCCUUCGGGAUGUAAAGCCCUUUCGACGGGAACGAUAAUGACGGUACCCGGAGAAGAAGCUGCGGCUAACUACGUGCCAGCAGCCGCGGUAAUACGUAGGCAGCAAGCGUUGUUCGGAGUUACUGGGCGUAAAGAGUAUGUAGGCGGUUGGGUAAGUUUGGUGUGAAAUCUCCCGGCUUAACUGGGAGGGUGCGCUAAAGACUGCCUGGCUCGAGUGUGGGAGAGGAAAGCGGAAUUCCUGGUGUAGCGGUGAAAUGCGUAGAUAUCAGGAGGAACACCUGCGGUGUAGACGGCUUUCUGGACCAUAACUGACGCUGAGAUACGAAAGCGUGGGUAGCAAACAGGAUUAGAUACCCUGGUAGUCCACGCCCUAAACGAUGCAUACUUGGUGUUGGCCAUUCACUUGGUCAGUGCCGGAGCUAACGCGUUAAGUAUGCCGCCUGGGGAGUACGGUCGCAAGGCUGAAACUCAAAUGAAUUGACGG
Molecule: ribosomal RNA, 873 nt
Filed under: uncultured bacterium
Lineage: Bacteria
Description: bacterial SSU rRNA
Rfam family: Bacterial small subunit ribosomal RNA
Source: RNAcentral